GAUCAACGCUGGCGGCGUGCCUCAGACAUGCAAGUCGAACGAUUAAGACUCUCUUCGGAGAGUGUAUAAAGUGGCGCACGGGUGAGUAACACGUAGGUAAUGUACCGAAGGGUGGGGAAUAACUUAGGGAAACUUAAGCUAAUACCGCAUAAUGCAGCGGCUCGACAUCGAGACAGUUGUUAAAGGAGCAAUCCGCCUUUUGAGCAGCCUGCGGCAGAUUAGCUAGUUGGUAAGGUAAUGGCUUACCAAGGCUACGAUCUGUAACCGACCUGAGAGGGUGGUCGGUCACACUGACACUGAAUAACGGGUCAGACUCCUACGGGAGGCAGCAGUGGGGAAUAUUGCGCAAUGGGCGAAAGCCUGACGCAGCGACGCCGCGUGGGUGAUGAAGGCC
Molecule: ribosomal RNA, 394 nt
Filed under: uncultured bacterium
Lineage: Bacteria
Description: bacterial SSU rRNA
Rfam family: Bacterial small subunit ribosomal RNA
Source: RNAcentral